Physella acuta is the source of this 76-nucleotide small nucleolar RNA. RefSeq annotates it as small nucleolar RNA R38. Lineage: Eukaryota; Metazoa; Mollusca; Gastropoda; Physidae. The record is from RefSeq and is a predicted model, not a curated record.
UUAGGCCUGUGAUGAUAUUAGUUAUCCCUGUCUUAAUUUCUUUGUUCUGUGGGGAAAAAGUUAAUCUGAGGCUGCA